Molecule: transfer RNA, 63 nt
Filed under: Megalobenedenia derzhavini
Lineage: Eukaryota; Metazoa; Platyhelminthes; Monogenea; Capsalidea; Capsalidae
Description: tRNA-Asp
Source: RNAcentral
AUGAAUUUAGUUUAAAUCGAAUACUAGCUUGUCGUGCUAUAGGUGCUUUGUGUGCAAUUCAUU